Long non-coding RNA from Cebus imitator (Panamanian white-faced capuchin), 1290 nucleotides. RefSeq lists it as uncharacterized. The transcript has 4 exons. Lineage: Eukaryota; Metazoa; Chordata; Mammalia; Primates; Cebidae. The record is from RefSeq and is a predicted model, not a curated record.
CUGGUUCUCUGAAUUUAUUUACAGAAAGCCAAAAUGAUGAUGAGGAAGAGGAAGAGAAAGGGACAGUGCCCCCCAGGAAUCUGCAGGAGUCUGUGGAGGAGGAAGCCCCCCAGGAGUCCUGGGAUGAAGGUUAUUCGACUCUCUCAGUUCCUCCUGGCACAUCUGCCUUCAGUGAGCCUUACAGGAGCAAGUUGCACUCAUUAGAGGAGCAGCAAGUCGACUUGGCUGGUGACAUAGACAAGAUUAAAAUAACCAAGAAGAGGAAGAAGACCAAGGCCCACGAUGCCCCAGGCUCCGCAUGGAGCUGGUGGAAGCAGAAGAGCCUGAAGUCUUCUGGUACUCACUGGAUAUAUUGCAUUCAAUGUAUACAGCCAAUCCUGAGUUUUUUUACACCUGCCAGGCUUACAUAUACGCUUUUUUUUAUUUGUAGAAGAGCAUGUUCGCUUGACUUUGGACAUGGACAGUAGGUUUCUUACUAUGAUGGUGAUAAGACUCCACCUGGUCUCCCGGAUAGGGGUCGUAUUCCCACACUAAGACAACAUGUCACCUGGGACUCUGCCGGUGCAGAGUAUGAACAACACCAUGUUCUUGCUGAAAACGCUUAGCCUGAGUUUCAUAGCCUGAGGUACUCUCCAGACAACUUCAGAAUGUAGACCAGUGAGCAGCACGACUGACCUGUCUCCUUCAGACAGCCCAUGUCACCACAAAUCACACAACUAAAAGGAGAAGAGUCAUUUUGGGUUGAAAAAGAGUCAAAAGAUAAUGUAGCUACAUUUCCUUAGUUCUUUUGAACCCAAAGUGUCUCCUCGCCUUUUUGUUGUUGUCAUUGAUGGUGGUGACAUGGGCUUGUUUGUAGAGGACAGGUCAGCUGUCUCGCUCAAUGGUCCAUACCCUGAAGUUGUCUGAAAAUGUCCUUAUGAUUAAAUUCAGCCUAAGUGUUUUUCCGGGAACACUGCAGGGUCAAUGCUACCUCACCCAUCUGCAGGCAGAGAAGGUCCCUUGUGUAUCCCACCAUGAUCGUUGUACCAGAACUAUUCCACCAUUUGUCUACGACCAUGAUCAUGGUGCCGGGGUUGUUCCACCAUUUGUCUAUCACCAUCAUCAUGGUACCAGGACUGUUCCACCAUUUGUCUAUCACCAUGAUUGUGAUACCAGGACUGUUCCAUCAUUUGCCUACCACAAUGCUUGUGAUACCAGGAUUAUUCCACCAUUUGUCUAUCACCAUCAUCCUGAUACCAGGACUGUCCCACCAUUAGUCUAUCACCAUAAUCGUGGUACCAGGGCUGUUCC